RNAcentral lists this long non-coding RNA (566 nucleotides) under Monodelphis domestica (gray short-tailed opossum). RNAcentral's name for it is "lncRNA (ENSMODG00000047998.1)". The record is from RNAcentral. Lineage: Eukaryota; Metazoa; Chordata; Mammalia; Didelphimorphia; Didelphidae.
CUGAGACAGCCUAAGGAAAAGGUCUGGUCAAGACUUGCUCUUGAGAAAAGACUUAAAUCUUUCUCCUGGUGACUGGAUACCCUUCCCCCUAAUUCCCAAUUGAAGUGGCCAGCUUGAGAAGACACAAAGCAGCUGACAAGAUCACCUCACAGUUCCUGGUACCCUGGGUUAGUCUGAAUCUCUCAGGGGCCCAAGGCAGCCAAGGCCUGGGUUCCCCAAAAUGAGGAGGAGGAAGGGAUAGCUAGAAUAGUAACACAUUUCCCCUCUUUCUUCACAAACCCCUCCUGCAGUCAUUUCCCUGUGUUAUCCCAAUUGAUCAGUUAGAAUAAAGUUGUUGUCUUCCCCAACUGAUUCUAGUGUGAGUGGAGAAACAGUUCCAGCUUGAGGGGGGAAAGUAACUUUCUCUCUCUGAGGAAGAAGCUCUAUCUAUCAUAGUAUUAGAGGGAAGUCAAGAGGCAGUUUGGCUGGUACCAUCCAUAGUAAACUCUAAAAUGAAAGACAAGAUGUGCUUGUGGAAUGACAUUGGAAGCCAUCCUCUACUUCCUUUUGCAUUGCAUCAUUAACAC